AAAUCCACAAAGACAAAGAAAAUGAGAGAUGAGACAACAGCAAGAAAUUGGAGAAGAUGGAAUGCAAAUGGAAGAGGGGUAACUGAUUCAACAGAUGCAAAGAAGCUAAACCUUAAACCAACAGUGAGAAAGCAAAAUAUGAAAGUUAAAAAGCAGUUUUGUUUAUCCACACAACCUUCUGGACCCAGGAUUUGGUAGCACCAGUGACCUCUGGGAGUGGGGGUGACUGUGAGGUCAACUGAUACUACAUCAACCAGAGCCCCCACCCUUCCGAUGAGAACAUGGCCUAGAGAAAAAAUAAAAAUAUAAGGAAAAAAAGAAAAAAAACCCUAAAAACCAAAGCGCCUUCACCCUAAAUAACAUGAUCUAGAAGCUCAAAUGCUGAUGAGGAUAUGGAGCAAAAGAAAUUCUCAUUCAUUGAUGGAAGGAAUGCAAAAUGGUACAGCCACUGUGGAAGACAGUUUCUUACAAAACUAAACCUACUCUUAUAAUAGCAUCCAGCAAUUGUACUCCUUGGUAUUUACCUAAAUAAGUUGAAAACUUACAUCCUUACAGAAACCUGCAUACAGAUGUUUAUAGCAGCUUUAAUUAUGAUUGACAGAACUUUAAAGCAACCAAGCUGUACUUCAACAGUUUGUCCAGGUCGAGAAUCAGGGCAUGGUUUAGCUGGGCACUUCUGGCUCAAGGUCUCUCAUGAGAUUACAGUCAAGUUAUCAGCCAGGGCUGCAGUCUCAUGUGAAGAUUCAACUGGGGUAAGGAUCCGCUUCCAACCUCAAUUAUGUGUGGUUAUUGAUCACAGGAUGAGUGGGCGUCUCCACAGGGCCACCUCAGGACAUGAAUGCUGUCAUCUCCCAGGGCAAGCAACACAAAAGAGAGCACCCACAAUGGAAGACUAAUCUUAUUUAUAAACUAAUCUUAAAAUGGACAUCCUGUCACUUCUGUCAUAUUUUAUUUGAUAGAAGCAAGUCCCUAAGUCCAGCCCAUACUAAAGGAGACAUGACUACAUAAAGAUAUUACAAAUGUAGGGAAUCCCCAA
This 1036-nucleotide long non-coding RNA is filed under the name Homo sapiens (human). Its description in RNAcentral is "HSALNT0294785". The record is from RNAcentral. Lineage: Eukaryota; Metazoa; Chordata; Mammalia; Primates; Hominidae.